AACGAACGCUGGCGGCAUGCCUAACACAUGCAAGUCGAACGAGACCUUCGGGUCUAGUGGCGCACGGGUGCGUAACACGUGGGAAUUUGCCUCGGGGUAUGGAAUAACUCAGGGAAACUUGAGCUAAUACCAUAUAAUGUCUUCGGACCAAAGAUUUAUCGCCCUGAGAUAAGCCCGCGUAGGAUUAGCUAGUUGGUGGGGUAAAGGCUCACCAAGGCGACGAUCCUUAGCUGGUCUGAGAGGAUGAUCAGCCACACUGGGACUGAGACACGGCCCAGACUCCUACGGGAGGCAGCAGUGGGAAUAUUGGACAAUAGGGCGAAGACCUGAUCCAGCAAUGCCGCGUGAGUGAUGAA
This 356-nucleotide ribosomal RNA is filed under the name uncultured bacterium. Its description in RNAcentral is "bacterial SSU rRNA". It matches the Rfam family "Bacterial small subunit ribosomal RNA", at positions 29 to 412 of the family's 1533-position model. The record is from RNAcentral.